Molecule: ribosomal RNA, 253 nt
Filed under: uncultured bacterium
Lineage: Bacteria
Description: partial 16S ribosomal RNA
Rfam family: Bacterial small subunit ribosomal RNA
Source: RNAcentral
UACAGAGGGGGCGAGCGUUGUUCGGAAUUACUGGGCGUAAAGGGCGCGUAGGCGGCCGACUAAGUCAGACGUGAAAUCCCCUGGCUCAACCAGGGAACUGCGUCUGAUACUGGCUGGCUUGAAUCCGGGAGAGGGAUGUGGAAUUCCAGGUGUAGCGGUGAAAUGCGUAGAUAUCUGGAGGAACACCGGUGGCGAAGGCGGCAUCCUGGACCGGCAUUGACGCUGAGGCGCGAAAGCCAGGGGAGCAAACGGG